Molecule: ribosomal RNA, 250 nt
Filed under: uncultured Eubacteriales bacterium
Lineage: Bacteria; Bacillati; Bacillota; Clostridia; Eubacteriales
Description: uncultured Clostridiales bacterium partial 16S ribosomal RNA
Rfam family: Bacterial small subunit ribosomal RNA
Source: RNAcentral
CACGCCCUAAACGAUGGAUACUAAACGUGGGUGGUAUCGACUCCAUCCGUGUUGAAGUUAACGCGAUAAGUAUCCCGCCUGGGGAGUACGGCCGCAAGGUUAAAACUCAAAGGAAUUGACGGGGACCCGCACAAGCAGAGGAGCAUGUUGUUUAAUUCGAGGCAACGCGAAAAACCUUACCAAGGCUUGACAUUUAAUGCAUAGUCUAGAGAUAGAUGAAUUUAUAGCAAUAUAACAUUAAAACAGAUGG